This 253-nucleotide ribosomal RNA is filed under the name uncultured bacterium. RNAcentral's name for it is "partial 16S ribosomal RNA". It matches the Rfam family "Bacterial small subunit ribosomal RNA", at positions 524 to 776 of the family's 1533-position model. The record is from RNAcentral.
UACAGAGGGUGCAAGCGUUAAUCGGAGUUACUGGGCGUAAAGGGCGCGUAGGUGGAAGCAUAAGUGAGUUGUGAAAUCCCUGGGCUUAACCUAGGAACUGCAACUUAAACUGUGUAUCUUGAGUACUGUAGAGGGUAGUGGAAUUUCCGGUGUAGCGGUGAAAUGCGUAGAGAUCGGAAGGAAUACCGGUGGCGAAGGCGGCAUCCUGGACCGACAUUGACGCUGAGGAGCGAAAGCUAGGGGAGCAAACGGG